RNAcentral lists this long non-coding RNA (1550 nucleotides) under Strigops habroptila (Kakapo). RNAcentral describes it as "lncRNA (ENSSHBG00005006647.1)". The record is from RNAcentral. Lineage: Eukaryota; Metazoa; Chordata; Aves; Psittaciformes; Psittacidae.
ACUGUUCGCCGGAAGUAGUGGCGCGAUCCUGUGGGCCGCUGCUUCCCGGUGAGGAGCUGCCGCCGCCGCUCCACGCUCAGGUGUCGGCGGGCGUGCGGGGUGCUCGUGGCCGCAGCCCGGUGUUCGCGCACCGGUUCUGGUCCGUCCGGCGCGCCGUCGGCGUUUGUCGCAUGCGCAGUGCCCGGGAGCAGCGUGGCGGCGCGCAGGGCCCGGGUCCCGGCACCGGCGGCAGCAGGAAGAAGAGGAAGAAUGCCUAGCAGAGACAGGUAAAGAAGAGCAGGGGAAGAAACAAGACCAGAAAAGCAGUGUGGAAGAUGCCAGUGAAGAGCAGGGAGAAAAGAAGCAGCAGCCUCCAGCAGGUCAGGCAGAAACUGCCCCUCCCAGAGCAGAGUCCCAGAAAAAGAAAGAAGGCAAGAAGUUGGAGUCUCGGGUGAGCAUCACACUGAGGGAAUGGGUCUUGGAUUUUGGUGUCUGAGAAGCUGAAUUGCGAGAAACGGUCUCUAGGUUCAGGCAGGCUUCGGUCAGACACAACACUGAAGCAGAUAUUUAUUUCAUGUUUGUGCAAAAACGGGUGUCCUGGCAAGUAGGCACACACAGCAAAGGCAGAACUUUGAUUUGUAUUUCCUAUCCCGUCCGCAAGUUCCCUCCCUUGUUUCCCUGUUGGUUGGGUACUCCCAAGGUUUACAGCCUAUCCAGUGAAUAUAAUCUAUAUGCUAACUGUCUCGCCUCUGUUUACACCUCCCCUUACUCGAUUUCGCAUGCCCCUUCCUCUUAUUUAUUUAUUUGUUGCCUUUCAUGGUUCGAUUUCAUAACUCUCUGGCAGACAUGUGAUACCCCAACUUACUGUUUAACUACAGCAGCAGUUUGCACCGGCUUAUUUUCAUACAUUGUACAAAGAGAGUAUUCUUUUCAACCACAAGAGUGUCUGUCGCCCAAAGAUGACAUUGUCUUUAACCACAGAAUGUGUCUGUUUAAGUCAUGGUAUUUCAAACCCUUUGUUUCGUUUCCGUAGUAACUUAGCCCCAGCCCCAAAAUUGCAAAGUCUUCAUAUUGCAAAGUCUCAUCCCCAAUAUGCAAAACCAACAGUGUUUCUCUCACAGGCAUCACCUACACACACAGAGCUCCUGCCCUCGCUUUGCCACCUAAAACUCCUGCAUACUGCCUGUCUGGCAUCCUGGAGCACAGCUCACAGAGUGCAAACGUCCAGCCCCUGCUCCCACAGCCGAGGAGCCAGGGCAGAAAGCUGUUGCUGGGCAUUACUUACACAGGGUGAGCUCCGCAACGGUGCCACCAACAUGGCAAUCCACCCUCACUUUGCCAUGUAAAACUCCAUCUGCAUACUGCCUCUCUGGUGCCCGCUCUUGGGCAUCCUGGAGUACAGAUGUAGUCCUGGUUGUGUGUCAUAAGUGGCACAUUGGGAACCAUAGGUGUUAGGUUGGGUAUUGUAAGUGGCGCUUUGGGUAGUGUAGGUGGCAGAUUGCACAUACAACCCCUACAGGGUUGCAUAGGUUGCAUUUAGGGUAUGCUCAUGCAGCUGACUCAGGAAUAGC